ACGGGGCGCAGCAGGCGCGAAAACUUUGCAAUGUGCGAAAGCACGACAAGGUUAAUCCGAGUGAUUUCUGCUAAAGAAAUCUUUUGCAAGUCAUAAAACCACUAGUGAAUAAGGGGUGGGCAAGUUCUGGUGUCAGCCGCCGCGGUAAAACCAGCACCUCAAGUGGUCAGGAGGAUUAUUGGGCCUAAAGCAUCCGUAGCCGGCUCUGUAAGUUUUCGGUUAAAUCCAUGUGCUCAACGCAUGGGCUGCCGAAAAUACUGCAUAGCUAGGGAGUGGGAGAGGUAGACGGUACUCGGUAGGAAGGGGUAAAAUCCUUUGAUCUAUCGAUGACCACCUGUGGCGAAGGCGGUCUACCAGAACACGUUCGACGGUGAGGGAUGAAAGCUGGGGGAGCAAACCGGAUUAGAUACCCGGGUAGUCCCAGCUGUAAACGAUGCAGACUCGAUGAUGCAUUGGCAUAUAGCCAGUGCAGUGUCGCAGGGAAGCCGUUAAGUCUGCCGCCUGGGAAGUACGUACGCAAGUAUGAAACUUAAAGGAAUUGGCGGGGGAGCAC
Molecule: ribosomal RNA, 553 nt
Filed under: uncultured archaeon
Lineage: Archaea
Description: bacterial SSU rRNA
Rfam family: Archaeal small subunit ribosomal RNA
Source: RNAcentral